This 255-nucleotide ribosomal RNA is filed under the name uncultured bacterium. RNAcentral describes it as "partial 16S ribosomal RNA". It matches the Rfam family "Bacterial small subunit ribosomal RNA", at positions 524 to 776 of the family's 1533-position model. The record is from RNAcentral.
UACGGGGGGGAGCAAGCGUUGUUCGGAUUUACUGGGCGUAAAGCGCACGUAGGCGGAUUUGUAAGUCAGGGGUGAAAUCCCGGGGCUCAACCUCGGAACUGCCCUUUGAUACUGCAAAUCUCGAGUCCGGAAGAGGUGAGUGGAAUUCCUAGUGUAGAGGUGAAAUUCGUAGAUAUUAGGAAGAACACCAGUGGCGAAGGCGGCUCACUGGUCCGGUACUGACGCUGAGGUGCGAAAGCGUGGGGAGCAAACAGG